GUUGAACGCAUCAAUCGUCGGUCGUCCGAAUCAUGCCGACGCAUUGGAUCGUCGAGGCGCGGGUGAACGAUACCCGCAAGGGGGUUCGAGCGGUGGGCGACCCAGGAGGGGCUCCGUCCGUCCGUCUCGAGYUGCUCGYGCCUCGUCGUCSRAARAACARAAGGGACCGCGCGACCACSCCGSCCGCACGUCCRAAGUCCGCKGGCGGACGGGGACGGURACUCGAAGAGAGACCUCUGAUCGGCCGUCGCCCGCCGUGGCGGCUCGGUCGGCGUGGAAGCGAAGGACCCAGUGCACACGAAGCUCUAUCGGCGGGCUGCCGCACACGCGGCGGCCUCCGCAGACUU
This 347-nucleotide unclassified non-coding RNA is filed under the name Limnodrilus maumeensis. Its description in RNAcentral is "internal transcribed sapcer 2". The record is from RNAcentral. Lineage: Eukaryota; Metazoa; Annelida; Clitellata; Tubificida; Naididae.